Molecule: ribosomal RNA, 877 nt
Filed under: Stanisicarion freycineti
Lineage: Eukaryota; Metazoa; Mollusca; Gastropoda; Stylommatophora; Helicarionidae
Description: partial 16S large subunit ribosomal RNA
Source: RNAcentral
UUAUUACUGCAAAGAAAUAUAUAAUUAUUUAAAGUUUAAUACCUUUUGCAUAAUGGUUUAAUAAAAUUAUAUUAAAAUUAUAAAUCCCGAAGUUAGAAGAUCUAAUUAUAUUAACUUAUUAGAAAUAAUUUAUAUAAUGUUUCAAAAUUAUAAAUAUAAAUAUAAUUAGGGGUGAAAGGCCUAUCAAUUCUAAGGAUAUCUGGAAUAAUUUUAAAUGUAUUUAGUACAAAUUGAGAUUUGAGUAAAAAAAUGUUAAGAUUUUUUUAAUUAUAGAAUAUUAAAUUAAAUAUUUUAUAUGAGUUAAUCCUCUAAUAUUAAUCUAUUAAAAUAAUUUAAUAUUAAAUAUAUCUAUAUAUUAAAAUUAUAUUUAAAUUUAAUUAAAUUAAAAAUUAACUAUGUUAAAAUUAGUAUAUACUUUUUAUUUUAUUAAGGAACUCGGCUAAUUAUUAUUCACCUGUUUAUCAAAAACAUAGUCUUAUGUAUUUAUAUAAGGUGAAACCUGCCCACUGAUGUUAAAUUUAAUGGCCGCAGUACCUUGACUGUGCUAAGGUAGCAUAAUAAAUUGACUUUUAAUUGGGGCCUUGAAUGAAUGGAUAAAUGGAUAAUUUCUGUCUCAAUAAAAAUUUUAUAAGUUGCUUAAAAGGUGAAAAUUCCUUUAAAUAAAUUAAAUAGACAAGAAGACCCUAGGAGUUUUUAAUUUUGUUGGGGCGACAGUAUAGCAUUAUAACCUAUAUAUAAAUAUUUUUAUAAAACGAAUAAUUUUAAUAAUAAAUAAACUACCCUAGGGAUAACAGCAUAAUUUAAUUUUAAGUUUGUGACCUCGAUGUUGGACUAGGGACUUUUAAAGCUAACAGUGUUAAUUGACAGUUCUGUUCGA